Molecule: long non-coding RNA, 898 nt
Organism: Saccostrea echinata
Lineage: Eukaryota; Metazoa; Mollusca; Bivalvia; Ostreida; Ostreidae
Exons: 3
Source: RefSeq, a predicted model, not a curated record
GAGAUCGGACUUAUGAAUAGAAUCGUAUUUGUGAUUCCGUGCAUGGUUGUGAGGAAUUCUGUCAUGGUAUAACCCAGAUUUUGACCAGUAAGAGUUCGUUAGAUGGCUGGAAGGAGGGUCAUCGAGUUUGAUGUUCAUUGUUUCUGGUCAGAGGCCUCAAAUCGUGCUCAAAAUGUCACUCCGGACCAUUAUUUUUGACCGAGAGAGCAAUUAAAGAUGAAAUAAAACUAGGGUUAGGUGGGUUUUAAUACAUACAGUGCGGAAAUUGCUUGUUCCCAGAAGCUGAGAAAAAUGCAAAGGGAUGCAGAACUUCAGUGUCAAUACUCAAUACACAGAUUGGAACAGCUAUAAUCAACAGAGUGGGAGGCCCUCAGAAGAUAAACAACUUGUUGAUAACACUAAAUCUACCAUCGAAACAUGAAAGAAUUUUAAAGGAGGUGUUCAAUGCUGAAAAAUCAAAGAACAUUGGGUUGUUGCGUGAGCUAAUUAGUAAAGGUUUUAUGAAGAUGAGUUUGGCGGAGAACAUUGCUGGGUUCGGGCUUGCACUUUCUCAUCUAAAGCUCAUCUAUGGCAGGGAUGGUGAAAAUGGAUUAACUUUUGUGUUUUCUCCCAAAACCAGUGAUGGCAAACCUAGAGUGACUGGAACAUCUAAAAUUCGACAAAAUGUUGUCCUAAAGUUGUGUGAAUUUUUUGCUGCCACAUGAAUUUAUCAAUUGUACCUAAAUAAAUUAGUCUGUUUUAUGGAUCAUCUACUAGUGUCACACAUAUCAAAUGAGAUUAAUAUCCCUAUAGAAUCUACAGUUAUACUACAAGUACUAUUUAUUGUGUCAUUAAAAUCCCGAUAUUUAUUUUCUAAGUCUUUCUGUAUCAUAGAUUGUUUAUCACUCUGCUUUGAUAC